This 433-nucleotide ribosomal RNA is filed under the name uncultured bacterium. Its description in RNAcentral is "partial 16S ribosomal RNA". It matches the Rfam family "Bacterial small subunit ribosomal RNA", at positions 29 to 507 of the family's 1533-position model. The record is from RNAcentral.
AACGAACGCUGGCGGCAUGCCUAACACAUGCAAGUCGAACGAGACCUUCGGGUCUAGUGGCGCACGGGUGCGUAACGCGUGGGAAUCUGCCCUUGGGUUCGGAAUAACAGUUGGAAACGACUGCUAAUACCGGAUGAUGACGUAAGUCCAAAGAUUUAUCGCCCAAGGAUGAGCCCGCGUAGGAUUAGCUAGUUGGUGAGGUAAAGGCUCACCAAGGCGACGAUCCUUAGCUGGUCUGAGAGGAUGAUCAGCCACACUGGGACUAAGACACGGCCCAGACUCCUACGGGAGGCAGCAGUGGGGAAUAUUGGACAAUGGGCGAAAGCCUGAUCCAGCAAUGCCGCGUGAGUGAUGAAGGCCUUAGGGUUGUAAAGCUCUUUUACCCGGGAUGAUAAUGACAGUACCGGGAGAAUAAGCUCCGGCUAACUCCGUG